GUUGUAUGGUUAAGUGACUAAGCGUACACGGUGGAUGCCUUGGCAGUCAGAGGCGAUGAAAGACGUAGUAACUUGCGAUAAGCCCAGAUUAGGUAGUAACAACCAUUUGAGUCUGGGAUUUCUGAAUGGGGAAACCCACGUGCAUAAGCACGUAUCCUUACCUGAAUACAUAGGGUAAGGAGGCGAACCGGGGGAACUGAAACAUCUAAGUACCCCGAGGAAAAGAAAUCAACCGAGAUUCCGAAAGUAGCGGCGAGCGAAAUUGGACUAGCCCUUAAGCUUUACACGCGUUAGACGAACGGUCUGGAAAGUCCGACGAUACAGGGUGAUAGUCCCGUAGUUGACGACGUGUGUUCAGUGAAAUCGAGUAGGGCGGGACACGUGAUAUCCUGUCUGAAUAUGGGGGGACCAUCCUCCAAGGCUAAAUACUACUGACUGACCGAUAGUGAACCAGUACCGUGAGGGAAAGGCGAAAAGAACCCCUGUGAGGGGAGUGAAAUAGAACCUGAAACCGUGUACGUACAAGCAGUAGGAGCACCUUCGUGGUGUGACUGCGUACCUUUUGUAUAAUGGGUCAGCGACUUAUAUUCAGUGGCAAGGUUAACCAUCUAGGGGAGCCGUAGGGAAACCGAGUCUUAACUGGGCGUUCAGUCUCUGGAUAUAGACCCGAAACCAGGUGAUCUAGCCAUGGGCAGGUUGAAGGUUGAGUAACAUCAACUGGAGGACCGAACCGACUAAUGUUGAAAAAUUAGCGGAUGACUUGUGGCUAGGGGUGAAAGGCCAAUCAAACCUGGAGAUAGCUGGUUCUCCCCGAAAGCUAUUUAGGUAGCGCCUCGGACGAAUACUACUGGGGGUAGAGCACUGUUAAGGCUAGGGGGUCAUCCCGACUUACCAACCCUUUGCAAACUCCGAAUACCAGUAAGUACUAUCCGGGAGACACACGGCGGGUGCUAACGUCCGUCGUGGAGAGGGAAACAACCCAGACCGCCAGCUAAGGUCCCAAAUUACUACUAAGUGGGAAACGAUGUGGGAAGGCUCAGACAGCCAGGAUGUUGGCUUAGAAGCAGCCAUCAUUUAAAGAAAGCGUAAUAGCUCACUGGUCGAGUCGGCCUGCGCGGAAGAUGUAACGGGGCUAAGUAGUAAACCGAAGCUGCGGCAAUAUACUUUUGUAUAUUGGGUAGGGGAGCGUUCUGUAAGCGGUUGAAGGUGUGUGGUAACGCAUGCUGGACGUAUCAGAAGUGCGAAUGCUGACAUGAGUAACGAUAAAGGGGGUGAAAAACCUCCUCGCCGGAAGACCAAGGGUUCCUGUCCAACGUUAAUCGGGGCAGGGUAAGUCGACCCCUAAGGCGAGGCCGAAAGGCGUAGUCGAUGGGAAACGGGUUAAUAUUCCCGUACUUCUUACAAUUGCGAUGGGGGGACGGAGAAGGCUAGGUGGGCCUGGCGACGGUUGUCCAGGUUCAAGUGCGUAGGCUUAAGAGUUAGGUAAAUCCGGCUCUUUUUAAGGCUGAGACACGACGUCGAGCACCUACGGGUGUGAAGUCAUUGAUGCCAUGCUUCCAGGAAAAGCCUCUAAGCUUCAGAUUGUAAGGAAUCGUACCCCAAACCGACACAGGUGGUCGGGUAGAGAAUACCAAGGCGCUUGAGAGAACUCGGGUGAAGGAACUAGGCAAAAUGGUACCGUAA
This 1683-nucleotide ribosomal RNA is filed under the name Vibrio parahaemolyticus. RNAcentral's name for it is "partial 23S ribosomal RNA". It matches the Rfam family "Bacterial large subunit ribosomal RNA", at positions 1 to 1733 of the family's 2925-position model. Lineage: Bacteria; Pseudomonadati; Pseudomonadota; Gammaproteobacteria; Vibrionales; Vibrionaceae. The record is from RNAcentral.